This is a long non-coding RNA of Biomphalaria glabrata, 599 nucleotides long. RefSeq lists it as uncharacterized. NCBI's taxonomy places the organism in Eukaryota, Metazoa, Mollusca, Gastropoda, Planorbidae. The record is from RefSeq and is a predicted model, not a curated record. The transcript is spliced from 3 exons.
AAUGUUUCUAAAGUACACAAAGGAUGUUGAAAGGUACCCAAAGGGCUCUAAUUGCUACCAUUCAAUGUGUGGAAUCAAGUAUUUACACAGAUACUGCCACAAUAUGUUCUUAUUAUUUUCAAAGGAGUUUUCACACAGUGCCAGAACUUCUGGCAGAAGCUGUAUAAAUACAUUUAACAAUGUAUAUUUCAAGAAGAAAUGAUGCUUUCUUAUUUCUAAGAGUUUAUCAAUAGGAUGAAUGCCACAAAACUCACUUGUUAUGCCAGAAACUCUUCCUACGAAACUUCCAUACUAGAAUUUGUCCAGUGCCUGUGAUCCUCUGAGUUGAAGGAGAAUGUGCUCCAUAAUACCUACUAGGAGCUUGCUGAUAGCUGGAAGUUCAUGAAUACUAUGUUGUCCUUGAUUUGAUGAUUCUGAAAACUACCAUUUCUGAAGACUUGAGCAUUAUUUCUAUAAUUUAAAAAAAUCUUUUCAGGAAAUAUUAUGUUUAUAAUAUUAAGAAAGUGAAGAUAAUAUUGUUCUUACUAAUAUUAUUGACUUAUUAAAAUAGAAAGCACAUCAUUACCAAUAUUCACUUGUCAAUAAAUGUUAGCAUUAUU